RNAcentral lists this ribosomal RNA (1025 nucleotides) under Ophiocordyceps myrmicarum. RNAcentral's name for it is "SSU rRNA". It matches the Rfam family "Eukaryotic small subunit ribosomal RNA", at positions 72 to 1104 of the family's 1831-position model. The record is from RNAcentral. Lineage: Eukaryota; Fungi; Ascomycota; Sordariomycetes; Hypocreales; Ophiocordycipitaceae.
CAUUAUACGGCGAAACUGCGAAUGGCUCAUUAUAUAAGUUAUCGUUUAUUUGAUAGUACCUUACUACUUGGAUAACCGUGGUAAUUCUAGAGCUAAUACAUGCUGAAAAUCCCGACUUACGGAGGGAUGUAUUUAUUAGAUUAAAAACCAAUGCAUGCCCUCUGGGCUCUCUGGUGAUUCAUGAUAACUUCUCGAAUCGCACGGCCUUGCGCCGGCGAUGGUUCAUUCAAAUUUCUUCCCUAUCAACUUUCGAUGUUUGGGUAGUGGCCAAACAUGGUUGCAACGGGUAACGGAGGGUUAGGGCUCGACCCCGGAGAAGGAGCCUGAGAAACGGCUACUACAUCCAAGGAAGGCAGCAGGCGCGCAAAUUACCCAAUCCCGACACGGGGAGGUAGUGACAAUAAAUACUGAUACAGGGCUCUUUUGGGUCUUGUAAUUGGAAUGAGUACAAUUUAAAUCCCUUAACGAGGAACAAUUGGAGGGCAAGUCUGGUGCCAGCAGCCGCGGUAAUUCCAGCUCCAAUAGCGUAUAUUAAAGUUGUUGUGGUUAAAAAGCUCGUAGUUGAACCUUGGGCCUGGCUGGCCGGUCCGCCUCACCGCGUGCACUGGUCCGGCCGGGCCUUUCCCUCUGCGGAACCCCAUGCCCUUCACUGGGCGUGGCGGGGAAACAGGACUUUUACUUUGAAAAAAUUAGAGUGCUCCAGGCAGGCCUAUGCUCGAAUACAUUAGCAUGGAAUAAUGAAAUAGGACGUGCGGUUCUAUUUUGUUGGUUUCUAGGACCGCCGUAAUGAUUAAUAGGGACAGUCGGGGGCAUCAGUAUUCAAUUGUCAGAGGUGAAAUUCUUGGAUUUAUUGAAGACUAACUACUGCGAAAGCAUUUGCCAAGGAUGUUUUCAUUAAUCAGGAACGAAAGUUAGGGGAUCGAAGACGAUCAGAUACCGUCGUAGUCUUAACCAUAAACUAUGCCGACUAGGGAUCGGACGAUGUUAUUAUUUGACUCGUUCGGCACCUUACGAGAAAUCAAAGU